Molecule: unclassified non-coding RNA, 542 nt
Filed under: Hevea brasiliensis (rubber tree)
Lineage: Eukaryota; Viridiplantae; Streptophyta; Magnoliopsida; Malpighiales; Euphorbiaceae
Source: RNAcentral
UUUUAAAUAUUAUAUAUAUUGUUAUUAUUGCAUUAAUAUAUGUAUGAAAAACAUUUAUUGAACUUAUUUGAUUAUGUUUGUUAUUAAUCAGAUUAUUAAAUUUGACAUUUAACUCAUCUGAAAAAAAUGUGCUAAAAUUCUCAAAUUAGAUAAGGUGGAAAAUAUUAUGUAAACAUUCUCUCUGUGUGUGAGUCUAUAAAUAUAUUAGCUUACAAUAUACCAUCUAUUUGAUUCUUCCUUUGCAUUAAAUUAUUUAUAAUUGAUUAACGUAUAUGUUAUCAGAUUCGUAGCCAUAUCACCAUUAUAUCAGUAUUUACAGGUUCUAAGUUCUUGGCAUCUCUUUAGUUUAAUCUAUUGGGUGUUUUUCUGGGAGUGAGAUGUACCUCUUGCCAAGAAAAAAGGAAUAAAAAUUGAAAUGGGACCAACAAAUGGGAAAUAUGGUUCUUAACUGGUGAACAUUCUUGACAGCAUGUAUGCUUCAUGAGUACAUGUUACAUCAUGACAGAUUGAGUUUCCAAGGUUGAAGUUGUAAUUUUCUUUUU